CCCUCCUCUCGCCAGCUCUCCGAUCACCAGACUUGCCCUCCAAUGGAUAUCAUUGGAGGGCAAGUCUGGUGCCAGCAGCCGCGGUAAUUCCAGCUCCAAAAGCGUAUAUUAAAGUUGUUGCAGUUAAAAAGCUCGUAGUUGAACCUUGGGCUUGGCUGGCCGGUCCAUCUUUUUUGAUGCGUACUGGACCCAGCCGAGCCUUUCCUUCUGGCUAGCCUUUUUGGCGAACCAGGACUUUUACUUUGAAAAAAUUAGAGUGUUCAAAGCAGGCCUUUGCUCGAAUAUAUUAGCAUGGAAUAAUAGAAUAGGACGUUAUGGUUCUAUUUUGUUGGUUUCUAGGACCAUCGUAAUGAUUAAUAGGGACGGUCGGGGGUAUCAGUAUUCAGUAGUCAGAGGUGAAAUUCUUGGAUUUACUGAAGACUAACUACUGCGAAAGCAUUUACCAAGGACGUUUUCAUUAAUCAAGAACGAAAGUUAGGGGAUCGAAGAUGAUCUAGAUACCGUCGAAAAAACUGGUG
This 518-nucleotide ribosomal RNA is filed under the name Lodderomyces parapsilosis. Its description in RNAcentral is "SSU rRNA". It matches the Rfam family "Eukaryotic small subunit ribosomal RNA", at positions 481 to 1031 of the family's 1831-position model. The record is from RNAcentral. Lineage: Eukaryota; Fungi; Ascomycota; Pichiomycetes; Serinales; Debaryomycetaceae.